Listeria monocytogenes EGD-e is the source of this 139-nucleotide regulatory RNA element. It matches the Rfam family "Ribosomal protein L20 leader". From Rfam's summary of the family: This family is a putative r-protein leader autoregulatory structure found in B. subtilis and other low-GC Gram-positive bacteria. It is located in the 5' untranslated regions of mRNAs encoding initiation factor 3 followed by ribosomal proteins L35 and L20 (infC-rpmI-rplT). NCBI's taxonomy places the organism in Bacteria, Bacillati, Bacillota, Bacilli, Caryophanales, Listeriaceae. The record is from Rfam.
ACAAGAAAGAAGAAGCAACCCGCUUCUCGCCUCGUUAACACGAACGUUUUCAGGCAAAAAAUUCAAACUUUCGUCGCGUAGCUUACGCGAUUUUGAAUGUGCGGGAUUGCUGAAAAGCAGCCCGUUUUUUUAUGGCCUC